RNAcentral lists this ribosomal RNA (320 nucleotides) under uncultured Actinomycetes bacterium. RNAcentral describes it as "bacterial SSU rRNA". It matches the Rfam family "Bacterial small subunit ribosomal RNA", at positions 28 to 351 of the family's 1533-position model. The record is from RNAcentral. Lineage: Bacteria; Bacillati; Actinomycetota; Actinomycetes.
GACGAACGCUGGCGGCGUGCUUAACACAUGCAAGUCGAGCGGUAAGGCCCUUCGGGGUACACGAGCGGCGAACGGGUGAGUAACACGUGAGCAAUCUGCCCUUCACUCAGGGAUAACCACCGGAAACGGUGGCUAAUACCUGAUAUGACCACUUCACGCAUGUGAUGGUGGUGGAAAGUUCUGGCGGUGGAGGAUGAGCUCGCGGCCUAUCAGCUUGUUGGUGGGGUAAUGGCCUACCAAGGCAACGACGGGUAGCCGGCCUGAGAGGGUGACCGGCCACACUGGGACUGAGACACGGCCCAGACUCCUACGGGAGGCAG